UUCUGCCCAUUUUUCAAUUGGGUUGUUUUACAAUGUUGUGUUGUGUAAGCUCUUUGUGUAUUUUGGACAUUUUCCCAUUGCUAGAUUUAUCACUUGCAAAUAUCAUCUCCCAGUCAGUAGGCAGACUUCAUUUUGUUGAUUAUUUCCUUUACUAUGCAAAAGCUUUUCGGUUUGAUAUAGUCCCAUUUGUUUAUUUUUGCUUUUGUUUCCCACACCUGAGGACGCAGAUCCAAAAAAAAUUUAAUAAGACUAAUGUGAAAAAGGUACUGCCUCUGUUUUCUUCUAGAAGUUUUAUGGAUUCUUUUUAAGAUAUUUUACUAUAGUUGAUUUACAAUGUUCUGUCAAUUUCUGCUGCACAGCAAAGUGACCCAGCCAUAUAUAUACAUAUAUAUACACAUAUAUACAUAUAUAUACACACAUAUAUACAUAUAUAUGCAUACACACACACAAAUAUAUACACACACACAUUCUUUUUCUCACAUUAUCCUCCGUCGUGUUCCAUCACAAGUGACUAGAUAUAGUUCACUGCGCUAUACAGUAGUUUUUUAAAGAUAUUUAUUAUAGUUGAUUUACAAUGUUUUGUCGAUUUCUGCUGCACAGUUUUAUAGUUUCAAUUUUUAAAUUUAUGUCCUCAAUUUUGAAUUUAUUUUUGUUCAUGGUGUCACACAUAUGUAUUUUAAUGACCUCUCCAAGUCCAAUUCAAUGUCAUAGGUUUUUCCUUCUUCCAUGUUUGUAUCUUUUUUUUUCUACCACAGUGAGAAACUGGCUCCUAACAACAUCAAUAUCUGCACUCAUUUGCUCAUAUUUCUAUAAUAUCUCUAAAAUAGAUUCUGAGUUUCUUCACCCAUUUGUAGACAUUCUCUUGCUGUGCUAUAAGUCAAACUUCAUAACUAGCAUAAUAAUUUUUUAUGGACACUAGCAAAUGGUUUGACCAAUUAGUAUGCUUUUAGAUACCAGAAAGAAAAUCCUGAUUCAAGCUGUCUUUAAGUUAUAAAAUUGGUCCUUCCUUCCUCCUUUCCUUCCUUCUUUGUUUGUCUUUUUAGGGCUACAACUGCGGCAUAUGGAAGUUUCUAGGCUAGGGGUUAAAUCGGAGCUGCAGCUGCUGGCCUACCCCAUAGCCACAGAAAUGCAGGAUCUGAGCCAUGUCUUCGACCUACAUCACAGCUCACGGCAAUGCCAGAUCCUUUUUUUUUUUUUU
RNAcentral lists this long non-coding RNA (1198 nucleotides) under Sus scrofa (pig). Its description in RNAcentral is "lncRNA (ENSSSCG00035042225.1)". The record is from RNAcentral. Lineage: Eukaryota; Metazoa; Chordata; Mammalia; Artiodactyla; Suidae.